RNAcentral lists this ribosomal RNA (524 nucleotides) under uncultured bacterium. RNAcentral's name for it is "bacterial SSU rRNA". It matches the Rfam family "Bacterial small subunit ribosomal RNA", at positions 21 to 518 of the family's 1533-position model. The record is from RNAcentral.
GGUUCAGGACGAACGCUGGCGGCGUGCCUAAUACAUGCAAGUCGAACGGUCUUUCUAUGGAAGCUUGCUUCCACUGAGAAGAUAGUGGCGAACGGGUGAGUAACACGUGGGUAACCUGCCCAUAAGAGGGGGAUAACAUCCGGAAACGGGUGCUAAUACCGCAUAGUUUUCUUGAUCGCAUGAUUGAGAAAGGAAAGACGGCCUUUGUGCUGUCGCUUAUGGAUGGACCCGCGGCGUAUUAGUUAGUUGGUGAGGUAACGGCUCACCAAGACGAUGAUACGUAGCCGACCUGAGAGGGUGAUCGGCCACAUUGGGACUGAGACACGGCCCAAACUCCUACGGGAGGCAGCAGUAGGGAAUCUUCCGCAAUGGACGAAAGUCUGACGGAGCAACGCCGCGUGAGUGAAAGAAGGUUUUCGGAUCGUAAAACUCUGUUGUCAGAGAAGAACAAGUUGGAGAGUAACUGCUCCAGCCUUGACGGUAUCUGACCAGAAAGCCACGGCUAACUACGUGCCAGCCGCCGC